RNAcentral lists this ribosomal RNA (506 nucleotides) under uncultured bacterium. RNAcentral describes it as "partial 16S ribosomal RNA". It matches the Rfam family "Bacterial small subunit ribosomal RNA", at positions 29 to 523 of the family's 1533-position model. The record is from RNAcentral.
AGUGAACGCUGGCGGUAGGCCUAACACAUGCAAGUCGAACGGCAGCACAGGAGAGCUUGCUCUCUGGGUGGCGAGUGGCGGACGGGUGAGGAAUACAUCGGAAUCUACUUUUUCGUGGGGGAUAACGUAGGGAAACUUACGCUAAUACCGCAUACGACCUACGGGUGAAAGCAGGGGAUCUUCGGACCUUGCGCGAUUGAAUGAGCCGAUGUCGGAUUAGCUAGUUGGCGGGGUAAAGGCCCACCAAGGCGACGAUCCGUAGCUGGUCUGAGAGGAUGAUCAGCAACACUGGAACGGAGACACGGUCCAGACGCCUACGGGAGGCAGCAGUGGGGAAUAUUGGACAAUGGGCGCAAGCCUGAUCCAGCCAUACCGCGUGGGUGAAGAAGGCCUUCGGGUUGUAAAGCCCUUUUGUUGGGAAAGAAAUCCAGCUGGUUAAUACCCGGUUGGGAUGACGGUACCCAAAGAAUAAGCACCGGCUAACUUCGUGCCAGCAGCCGCCGUAA